GUCUGGGUGGCUCAGUGGAUUAAGCAUCUGACUUCCGCUCAGGUCAUGAUUUCACCAUUAUGGGUUCGAGCCCCAUGUCAGGCU
This 84-nucleotide transfer RNA is filed under the name Felis catus (domestic cat). It matches the Rfam family "tRNA". From Rfam's summary of the family: Transfer RNA (tRNA) molecules are approximately 80 nucleotides in length. RNAcentral also lists the same sequence under 1 other name. The record is from Rfam by way of RNAcentral. Lineage: Eukaryota; Metazoa; Chordata; Mammalia; Carnivora; Felidae.